GACGAACGCUGGCGGCGUGCUUAACACAUGCGAGUCGAACGGAAAGGCCCUUCGGGGUACUCGAGUGGCGAACGGGUGAGUAACACGUGGGUGAUCUGCCCUGCACUUUGGGAUAAGCCUGGGAAACUGGGUCUAAUACCGAAUAGGACCACGCGCUUCAUGGUGUGUGGUGGAAAGCUUUUGCGGUGUGGGAUGGGCCCGCGGCCUAUCAGCUUGUUGGUGGGGUAAUGGCCUACCAAGGCGACGACGGGUAGCCGGCCUGAGAGGGUGACCGGCCACACUGGGACUGAGAUACGGCCCAGACUCCUACGGGGGGCAGCAGUGGGGAAUAUUGCACAAUGGGCGCAAGCCUGAUGCAGCGACGCCGCGUGAGGGAUGACGGCCUUCGGGUUGUAAACCUCUUUCACCAGGGACGAAGCGUAAGUGACGGUACCUGGAGAAGAAGCACCGGCCAACUACGUG
RNAcentral lists this ribosomal RNA (462 nucleotides) under uncultured bacterium. RNAcentral describes it as "partial 16S ribosomal RNA". It matches the Rfam family "Bacterial small subunit ribosomal RNA", at positions 28 to 507 of the family's 1533-position model. The record is from RNAcentral.